AGAGAGAGAGAGAGAGAGAGAAAAAAAAAAAAAAAAAAAGGGAAAUGGAGAAAGUGAAUUGAACGAAAAGUGACAAAAGUGAAGAAAGGUAAGCAGUCAGCAGUGUUGGUGAGAGCUUUGAAGCUUUUACCUAAACAACAGGAAAUGUCAUUAUCAUCACGCGAUUCCGCAGAAAGUUGCCCCCACAAACAAGUAUCAAUUCCUUUCCGUUCUCCUCCUCAGAGUCAGUCAGUCCUAGACCUGGCCCAAGUCGACUCGUAACUAAAACCAAAAAUUUAAUUUUGAA
Molecule: unclassified non-coding RNA, 286 nt
Filed under: Hevea brasiliensis (rubber tree)
Lineage: Eukaryota; Viridiplantae; Streptophyta; Magnoliopsida; Malpighiales; Euphorbiaceae
Source: RNAcentral